RNAcentral lists this long non-coding RNA (2789 nucleotides) under Panax ginseng (ginseng). RNAcentral describes it as "long non-coding RNA (PGIN_LNC009658)". Lineage: Eukaryota; Viridiplantae; Streptophyta; Magnoliopsida; Apiales; Araliaceae. The record is from RNAcentral.
AAGUAUGCAUUCAAACCUUAUAUAUAUAUAGGCAUUACGCUUAAAUGACAUUAUUCCCUUAAACAACAUUCCUAUUUAAAAGGCUCACUCCGUGUUUUUUAAAAAGGCUCACUCCGUGUUUACAAAGUGCUCUCUUCUCACGCACUACUGAGCUCUCUCACUAGUUUCCCUCCAACAAAAUCGAAGCCUUGAAAUCGAUUGCUGCAAAAUCGAAGCAAAUCUUCUCCAAAUCUUCUGAAAAUCGAAUCAUGCCACAGAAAUCGAAGUCGAAGCCCUAGAAUCGGAACCCCCUAAAAAUCUCAGUUCUCUUCUCUCCGCAAUGUGGUGUGUAUAGGUAGAAUAUAGGUAUGAAUGUGGUGUGUUUCAUUCUUGUGUUUGUUCGAUACCCUGCUUCAGCUCACUCGAGCUUCCUGAAUAUAUUUUGAUUAUCUGAUCCUAUGAACACUAACUGUUGUCGGGCGAUUUACUGCCAUUGUGAAGGUUGGAUAUGUUAAGAUUUGAUAUAUUUCUAUUUCCUUUUACUUUAGUUGGAUAUGCUUCAUUCUUAUUCCAUCGACUUUUUCCAGUAAUUUUGGUUUUUUUAAAUUUCUUGGGGGAUCAAUACAAUGCUAAAAUUAGAUUUGAGGGCAUGUUUUGGAUUGUCAAGUACUCUGGUAUAGAACAUUUUCUGUGCUAUAGAUUUUGAUGUAGUCGACGUAUAUUAUUCAUAUGGGGGAGAAAAAUAGAAUUUUCCUGAAUAUAUGAAUGCAAACUCCUCUGCACUAUUGUGAUUUUUCAAAGCAUUCGUUAAUAUCUUGAUGUGCAAUAGUAAAAGACACAAGUGUCCCCCUUCUACUUUCUUGUCUUGAUUUCCUAGGAACUAUUAGUUAUUUGAUUUUAUUAAUAUUUUUAUUGAUUUCUGCACCGAUGAUCUUCUUGUCGUCUCUAAACUUCAUUAUAUAGAGAAUUCACAUAGUUUUCAGGUUGCUAAGAAACAAUAAUACCUUGUGGCAUAACUGCAAGAGAAGGGUGCUACAAUCAUAUGAAGUAAUAGUUAAAAGAUUAAUUCCCCCACCCCGACCCCCUUUUCCUUUUCCAACUUUAAUGACUAUAGUUAUAGAUACUUUUAAGUUUCAGUUGGAGUUGGGAAUAUGAGUGUGUUGUCAUAUUUCAUAUUAAAUUUUAGUUUGUUAUAUUAGUUUGCCAAUGUUCAUUGAACAUAAGAAUUUUGUUGUGUUAAUGAGACAACUGGUCAUGAUUAGCUGAAAUCAUCUCCACUAUGUAUGAUAGCUAGCCUGCAGCAAACUUGGUAACUUCACUAUGUUUGAUCUGACAAAUGGUCAUGAUUUUCAGCAUCUCCACUAAGAAUGUUUCGUUGUUGUAAUGAUUCUUAUUAUCUGUUAUCAGGUAUUCUAUGAACCAAUCAAAACUUUUGUUGAAAAAGCAGUUGGAGGAUGUGAUGAAGACAGGGCACACAAUGUGUUCGGCGAAAAUAUGCAAGCCUUUAAUUUUCCUAACAGUGUUGAAGAUUUUUACUCCCUGCUUGAUGGUAUGAGAAAUAAAGGCCUUCGCAGAAUUGCUGACAUACUGACAUGUGGCUCAAUUAAAUUUGAGAAACUAGUACUAGCAUUGAUCAUCAAGCAGUUAUCCUUUGCGUAUUUGUAUCAAAACUGAUUAGCAGCUCGGUUAGGCAAAUGUGCCAUGGACUUAUUUAUACUAAUCUAGCCAAAAUCUGUGGUGACCAAAAGCUAGGUUGUGUGAAGUCCCUAUUUUAAAUGUAAUGAAUUGAUUGUAAUGAAGCAAAGCUUUUGCCAACAACGGAUGACUACAAGUUGAUUACUAGUUGAUUUAGACAACUUUUAAAUACUGUUUUGUGCAAUGUGAUGAAGACUGUACAUGUCUUACAAGAACAAUAAUUCAAUGCAAUUAUAUUACACCAUGAUCUAUUGAGGUUGAUUGACCCUGGGUUAAUUUCUCCAUCCUAUUGACAUACCAAAAUAAUGACAUAAAUAUUACUCCAUAAAAUAUGGCAAAACUGUUUACAUCAAGCAACCAUAAAAUUCCACCUGUGCCAUAAACUGUUUCCAUCAAGCAGCCAUAAACUGUUUAUAUAUGGCAAAACUGUUUACAUCAAGCAGUCAUAAAAUUCCAGCUAAACGGAUAAUUUGAGCAUUUUGAUAUACAAGCCUUCUAUUAGUUAAAGUCAGCAAGUUCAAUUAGCAAGUAACCAAAAAGAAUAAUAUUUAUUUUCCUGUGCUAAUAACUCUUCAAAAGAAAUAUCAGCAAAGUCGGUGUCCAUGUUGUCCUCUAGCUUGCCAGUUUUGGCUUUCAACUCCAUGCAGGUGCCAUUCAAGCAUCUUCAACAUCAGAAAAGGAUUAACUUUUAUUACUUCAGCUGGUGUACUGCAACAAACCAAACAAGGAUAUUGUCAUUAUAAAAGAAAGCAAACGAAUAAAAACUAAAGUCGCCUAUUUUUUUCAACACAGAAGAAGAAUGCAAAUUACAAAGCAAAAUAUUAAGUUUCAUAGACAGCCAAGCAAAUUUCUACAUUCUUCCAUUCUAGAGAGUUUUAGAUACAUAACACACAGAGUUGGGAAAAUUAAGGAAGACUAAACAAAAUAAAACAUCCUAUACUAUCACCAAUGCAUCCAUCAAAGUAGCCCAUCACCUAGAUUAGGUCCAUUAAAGUCGUUUCCUUCCAUUUCCUACAUACUUCCACUAAAUAUAAAUACAUGCAUGUUCAUGAAGGACAUAUUGAUAGUUUCCUGCAUCCUUCCACUAAAUAUAAAAUAUCCACUAAAAGUAAAGC